This 309-nucleotide ribosomal RNA is filed under the name Triticum aestivum (bread wheat). RNAcentral's name for it is "partial small subunit ribosomal RNA". It matches the Rfam family "Eukaryotic small subunit ribosomal RNA", at positions 1460 to 1764 of the family's 1831-position model. The record is from RNAcentral. Lineage: Eukaryota; Viridiplantae; Streptophyta; Magnoliopsida; Poales; Poaceae.
GUUUGUGAUGCCCUUAGAUGUUCUGGGCCGCACACGCGCUACACUGAUGUAUUCAACGAGUAUAUAGCCUUGGCCGACAGGCCCGGGUAAUCUUGGGAAAUUUCAUCGUGAUGGGGAUAGAUCAUUGCAAUUGUUGGUCUUCAACGAGGAAUGCCUAGUAAGCGCGAGUCAUCAGCUCGCGUUGACUACGUCCCUGCCCUUUGUACACACCACCUGUCGCUCCUACCGAUUGAAUGGUCCGGUGAAGUGUUCGGAUCGCGGCGACGGGGGCGGUUCGCCGCCCCCGACGUCGCGAGCAGUCCAUUGAAC